This 253-nucleotide ribosomal RNA is filed under the name uncultured bacterium. RNAcentral describes it as "partial 16S ribosomal RNA". It matches the Rfam family "Bacterial small subunit ribosomal RNA", at positions 524 to 776 of the family's 1533-position model. The record is from RNAcentral.
UACGGAGGGUGCAAGCGUUGUUCGGAAUUACUGGGCGUAAAGGGCGUGCAGGCGGGAUGGUAAGUCGGAUGUGAAAGCCCAGGGCUCAACCCUGGAAGUGCAUUCGAUACUGCCAUCCUAGAGUAUGGGAGAGGAGAGUGGAAUUCCGAGUGUAGAGGUGAAAUUCGUAGAUAUUCGAAGGAACACCGGUGGCGAAGGCGGCUUCCUGGACCGAUACUGACGCUGAGGUACGAAAGCGUGGGGAGCAAACAGG